UACAGAGGUCUCGAGCGUUGUUCGGAUUCAUUGGGCGUAAAGGGUGCGUAGGUGGCGCUGUAAGUCGGGUGUGAAAUCCUGAGGCUUAACCUCGGAACUGCAUUCGAUACUGCGGCGCUUGAGGACUGGAGAGGAGACUGGAAUUCAUGGUGUAGCAGUGAAAUGCGUAGAGAUCAUGAGGAAGACCAGUGGCGAAGGCGGGUCUCUGGACAGUUACUGACACUGAGGCGCGAAGGCCAGGGGAGCAAACGGG
Molecule: ribosomal RNA, 253 nt
Filed under: uncultured bacterium
Lineage: Bacteria
Description: partial 16S ribosomal RNA
Rfam family: Bacterial small subunit ribosomal RNA
Source: RNAcentral